This 460-nucleotide ribosomal RNA is filed under the name uncultured bacterium. RNAcentral describes it as "partial 16S ribosomal RNA". It matches the Rfam family "Bacterial small subunit ribosomal RNA", at positions 338 to 795 of the family's 1533-position model. The record is from RNAcentral.
CCUACGGGAGGCUGCAGUGAGGAAUAUUGGUCAAUGGGCGCAAGCCUGAACCAGCCAAGUAGCGUGCAGGAUGACGGCCCUACGGGUUGUAAACUGCUUUUAUACGGGAAUAACGUGCCUUACGUGUAGGGCUUUGCAUGUACUGUAUGAAUAAGGAUCGGCUAAUUCCGUGCCAGCAGCCGCGGUAAUACGGAGGGUCCGGGCGUUAUCCGGAUUUAUUGGGUUUAAAGGGAGCGUAGAUGGGUUGUUAAGUCAGUUGUGAAAGGUUCGGGCUCAACCGGGGCAUUGCAGUGGAUACUGGCAGUCUUGAGUCCGCGGAAGGUAGGCGGAAUUCGUGGUGUAGCGGUGAAAUGCUUAGAUAUGACGAAGAACCCCGAUUGCGAAGGCAGCUUGCUGAAGCGGAACUGACACUGAUGCUCGAAAGCGCGGGUAUCGAACAGGAUUAGAUACCCGAGUAGUC